This 375-nucleotide transfer-messenger RNA is filed under the name Patescibacteria group bacterium. It matches the Rfam family "transfer-messenger RNA". Rfam says of the family: Bacterial tmRNA, also known as 10Sa RNA or SsrA, is named for its dual tRNA and mRNA-like properties. Its role is to liberate the mRNA from a stalled ribosome. The record is from RNAcentral.
GGGGAUGCCAGGCCUAGACAAUGGAGCCCGUUGAAAGAGCUGCGAGGUAGCAGUGGAAAUCUGCUUAAAAAAUUCCAAACCACAACUGGCAAGUCAGUUGCAUCGCCGUAUUUUUCGGCGAACGAUCUCGCUUUCGCUAACGCCUAAGCGGUCGCGCCCGCUCUCCUUCUCCUGAGGGGAGAGGCCGGGUGUUAUAUUUCAGGAUAUAGUUUUGCGAAGCGAUUCUCCGCAAAACAGAAACUUGGAAUCUGCGGCAUCAAGAGAUUUUGUUCAUUCCCUACUCUCGGCGCCUAAGACCUCUAAAAUGAACUACACGUCGUAGACGCGCUUUCAAUUCUUCAUUGCACGGCGGUUCAACUCCGCCCAUCUCCACAG